RNAcentral lists this ribosomal RNA (260 nucleotides) under uncultured bacterium. RNAcentral describes it as "partial 16S ribosomal RNA". It matches the Rfam family "Bacterial small subunit ribosomal RNA", at positions 793 to 1055 of the family's 1533-position model. The record is from RNAcentral.
GUCCGCACCGUAAACGAUGGAUACUAGGUGUCCGGCCUUUCGGGGCUGGGUGCCCAAGGGAAACCGAUAAGUAUCCCACCUGGGGAGUACGUCCGCAAGGAUGAAACUCAAAGGAAUUGACGGGGGCCCGCACAAGCGGUGGAGCAUGUGGUUUAAUUCGAUGAUACGCGAGAAACCUUACCUGGGCUAGAAUGCCCGCGACAACCCCUGAAAGGGGGCCUUCCUUCGGGACGCGGAGCAAGGUGCUGCAUGGCUGUCGU